Molecule: ribosomal RNA, 403 nt
Filed under: uncultured bacterium
Lineage: Bacteria
Description: bacterial SSU rRNA
Rfam family: Bacterial small subunit ribosomal RNA
Source: RNAcentral
UAGGGAAUAUUAGUAAUGGGCGCAAGCCUGAACUAGCAACGCCGCGUGUGCGAAGAAGGCCAUCGGGUUGUAAAGCACUUUUUGAGAGGAUGAGGAAGGACGGUACUCUCAGAAUAAGUCUCGGCUAACUACGUGCCAGCAGCCGCGGUAACACGUAGGAGGCGAACGUUAUCCGGAUUUACUGGGCGUAAAGCGCGUGUAGGUGGAUUGGUAAGUAGGGCGUGAAAGCUCCUGGCUCAACUGGGAGAGGCCGUUCUAAACUGCCGAACUAGAGGAUGGUAGAGGGAGGUGGAAUUCCGGGUGUAGCGGUGGAAUGCGCAGAUAUCCGGAGGAACACCAGUGGCGAAAGCGGCCUCCUGGACCACUCCUGACACUCAGACGCGAAAGCUAGGGUAGCAAACGG